Molecule: ribosomal RNA, 253 nt
Filed under: uncultured bacterium
Lineage: Bacteria
Description: partial 16S ribosomal RNA
Rfam family: Bacterial small subunit ribosomal RNA
Source: RNAcentral
UACGGGGGGGGCAAGCGUUGUUCGGAAUUACUGGGCGGAAAGGGUUCGUAGGUGGCCAACUAAGUCAGACGUGAAAUCCCUCAGCUUAACUGGGGAACUGCGUCUGAGACUGGAUGGCUUGAGUGCAGGAGAGGAACGCGGAAUUCCAGGUGUAGCGGUGAAAUGCGUAGAUAUCUGGAGGAACCCCGGUGGCGAAGGCGGCGUUCUGGACUGCAACUGACACUGAGGAACGAAAGCCAGGGGAGCAAACGGG